Molecule: long non-coding RNA, 912 nt
Organism: Bubalus bubalis (water buffalo)
Lineage: Eukaryota; Metazoa; Chordata; Mammalia; Artiodactyla; Bovidae
Exons: 4
Source: RefSeq, a predicted model, not a curated record
GGUGUGAGGUGGGAGGUGGAGGCUGGGAAGUGUAUUCAGGAGGGAAGUCUAGUCUGGUGGUAAAAUAGUUACUAUUUUGCAAAGACUGGAAGGAAAGAUUCCCUUUCUUUGGGCCAUUCUUGGAGAACAGAGCAGGGCUCAAGUCUGAAUGAAGGUCUGCGGAAGCUCAUGGCUCUGGGGACUCAGCACCAUGUCCUGUGAUGGAGACGCAAGGACACACAAGACACUGCCCUGAUUCUCAAGGAGCUCACAGAGUCUGGGGGGGAAGCCACUUGUGCAGAGGACACAGGGAAAAGAGAAUGAUCUAUGAACCAGGAAACUUGAUCUUCAACUUCCUUGCCUCCAGAACUUUGAAAAAGAUGUUUCUGUUGUUGGAGAACAUUUCCAGCUUAAAGUGGGAGGAGGCACCAUAUCCAACAAGCUGCAGUCAACACCCGCUCACAUUCAGGAAUAACCUUUAAGACACAGUUCAUAAGUUGCAUAGUUUUAUCCUUUUGCCCUUUAGCGUCUGAAGAGAACUGCUGGGCCUGCAACCCUAGUAUGUGGGGGUGUUCAGGGCACAACGUGCAAGGCUGGGGGUGGGGGUGAUGGAAGACCGAUCCUGUUAAGGAGAAGCACACAUGCUUUGCUUCACCUUUCUCAACCCUCAUAACAGUCCAUUUCAAUUCCACCCUGAAAUUGCCCAUCUGUCAUCACCCAUUAAAGGUGUUUGUAAGCAACUGCAAAAUAUUGAGGCUGAUGCAUUUUGGCACUAAUAUUGCUAUUAAUAUUGAUAUCCCUUGUAAUGCCAGCAUCAUAUUAAUAAUGCUCCUUGCAGACUCCUUAGACGUCUUCCUCUUCUUCACUCUUCUGAGCCUUAGCCUUGCCCUGCAGCUUAUUUUUAAGGAUUUUCAGAAGUUAUUGAUUACACAA